Molecule: long non-coding RNA, 347 nt
Filed under: Solanum pimpinellifolium
Lineage: Eukaryota; Viridiplantae; Streptophyta; Magnoliopsida; Solanales; Solanaceae
Description: long non-coding RNA (SPIM_LNC000093)
Source: RNAcentral
UCCGCUAGCACGUCGAUCGGUUAAUUCAAUAAAAUGGGAAUUAGCACUCGAUUUCGUCGGCACCAUGCAAUUAAACCAAUCCAAUUGUUUACUUAUUCAAUGAGACUGAGUUAAUUUGCAAGCUCACCCAACCUAUUUUAAUUUCAAAAUCUCAAGUGGAUGAAUCAGAAUCUUGAGAAAGUCUUUCAUUUGUCUAUCAUUAUAGACAAGCCCAUCCAUAUUAUUUAUUCUAUGGAAUUCGAACCUGAACUUUCUUUUCGAUUUUUAUUACGAUUCAUUAUUUGUAUCUAAUGGGCUCCUCUUCUUAUUUAUUUUUUAUUUCAAUUUCAGCAUAUCGAUUUAUGCCU